GACGAACGCUGGCGGCGUGCUUAACACAUGCAAGUCGAACGGUAAGGCCCUUCGGGGUACACGAGUGGCGAACGGGUGAGUAACACGUGGGUGAUCUGCCCUGCACUUCGGGAUAAGCCUGGGAAACUGGGUCUAAUACCGGAUAGGACUCCUGGCUUCAUGGUUGGGGGUGGAAAGCUUUUGCGGUGUGGGAUGGGCCCGCGGCCUAUCAGCUUGUUGGUGGGGUAAUGGCCUACCAAGGCGACGACGGGUAGCCGGCCUGCGAGGGUGACCGGUCACACUGGGACUGAGAUACGGCCCAGACUCCUACGGGAGGCAGCAGUAGGGAAUAUUGCACAAUGGGCGCAAGCCUGAUGCAGCGACGCCGCGUGAGGGAUGACGGCCUUCGGGUUGUAAACCUCUUUCAGCUAUGACGAAGCGCAAGUGACGGUAGUAGCAGAAGAAGGACCGGCCAACUACGUGCCAGCCGCCGCGGUAA
RNAcentral lists this ribosomal RNA (478 nucleotides) under uncultured bacterium. RNAcentral's name for it is "partial 16S ribosomal RNA". It matches the Rfam family "Bacterial small subunit ribosomal RNA", at positions 28 to 523 of the family's 1533-position model. The record is from RNAcentral.